RNAcentral lists this ribosomal RNA (708 nucleotides) under Genista ferox. RNAcentral describes it as "eukaryotic LSU rRNA". The stretch from base 270 to 425 matches the Rfam family "5.8S ribosomal RNA". Lineage: Eukaryota; Viridiplantae; Streptophyta; Magnoliopsida; Fabales; Fabaceae. The record is from RNAcentral.
CCGUUUUAGGUGACUGCGAAGGAUCAUUGUCGAAGCCUCACAAGCAGAGCGACCCGUGAAUUUGUUUGACUACUAAGGGGUGGGCAGAGGUGUUCGGCACCUCGACCGCCCCUCGUGUCGGGAGGCGCCCCACCUUGUGUGGUAUUCCUCCAGGCAUAAUUAACAAAACCCCGGCGCCGAACGCGCCAAGGAAAUUGAAAUCGUUUAGUGCGCCCUUGUCGGCCCGGAGACGGUGUCAGCGAGUGGCGUUGCGAAACACGUAUCCAAAAGACUCUCGGCAACGGAUAUCUCGGCUCUUGCAUCGAUGAAGAACGUAGCGAAAUGCGAUACUUGGUGUGAAUUGCAGAAUCCCGUGAACCAUCGAGUCUUUGAACGCAAGUUGCGCCCGAAGCCAUUAGGCUGAGGGCACGCCUGCCUGGGUGUUGCACAUCGUUGCCCCCGUGCCUUGGCCAUGUGCUAGGCACCGAGCGGGGCGAAUGUUGGCUUCCCGCGAGCAACGUCUCACGGAUGGCUGAAAACUGAGUCCGCGGUGGAGGGCACCGUGAUGGAUGGUGGCUGAGUUAAAGCUCGAGACCGAUCGUGCGUGUCCCACCCACCAGCUUUGCGACUCUGUGACCCAUUGCGGUCUGUUUGGCUGCCUAAGACGGGAACCUCAGGUCAGGCGGGGCUACCCGCUGAGUUUAAGCAUAUCAAUAAGCGGGAGGAGGA